GUCAAUAUGUUGGUCACUACGGAUGGUACCUUGAAGAGUUCAAGAGGCUCUGUUCUUGCUGUGAAGCGGACUUCUUCUUUCAAGAAAUAGUCUGUUAGAAGGAAGAAGACUAAAUCUGUAAAGAAGCAGAAGAAAGAGAGCAAGCCAACAAAAGAUAGUCCAAAGGUGGCUGAGGCAAAGAAAAAAUAUUUUCACUAUCAUGCUGAAGG
Molecule: long non-coding RNA, 209 nt
Filed under: Elaeis guineensis (African oil palm)
Lineage: Eukaryota; Viridiplantae; Streptophyta; Magnoliopsida; Arecales; Arecaceae
Description: long non-coding RNA (EGUI_LNC055917)
Source: RNAcentral